This 519-nucleotide ribosomal RNA is filed under the name Bolbitius titubans. Its description in RNAcentral is "eukaryotic LSU rRNA". The stretch from base 111 to 264 matches the Rfam family "5.8S ribosomal RNA". The record is from RNAcentral. Lineage: Eukaryota; Fungi; Basidiomycota; Agaricomycetes; Agaricales; Bolbitiaceae.
UGUCGUUCGACUGUUCCUGGCCUUCAGGUUUAUGUGCUUUACAUCUACACCAUAAGCAUGUAAACGAAUGAAAUCAAUGGCAGCUUCAUUGCAGCCUAUAAAACUUAAACAACUUUCAGCAACGGAUCUCUUGGCUCUCGCAUCGAUGAAGAACGCAGCGAAAUGCGAUAAGUAAUGUGAAUUGCAGAAUUCAGUGAAUCAUCGAAUCUUUGAACGCACCUUGCGCUCCUUGGUAUUCCGAGGAGCAUGCCUGUUUGAGUGUCAUUAAAUUCUCAACCAUCCUGUCUUUCUUUCGAGAGGGCGGUGAUGCGUUGGAUGUGGGGACCUGCCUGUUUCUUACGAGACUUCGGCUUCCCUUAAAAGCAUUAGCUAGAGCGCUUCUGUUGACUAGCUGCUAGUGUGAUAAUUAUCUACACUGUGGCCAACGAAGGAAACUCUGCUUCUAAUCGUCUGCUUGCAGACAACUCCUGAUAUCUUGACCUCAAAUCAGGUAGGACUACCCGCUGAACUUAAGCAUAU